This 422-nucleotide ribosomal RNA is filed under the name Fusobacteriota bacterium. RNAcentral describes it as "Fusobacteria bacterium partial 16S ribosomal RNA". It matches the Rfam family "Bacterial small subunit ribosomal RNA", at positions 355 to 776 of the family's 1533-position model. Lineage: Bacteria; Fusobacteriati; Fusobacteriota. The record is from RNAcentral.
UGGGGGAUUUUGCACAAUGGGCGCAAGCCUGAUGCAGCGACGCCGCGUGAGGGAUGAAGGCCUUCGGGUUGUAAACCUCUUUCGCUGGGUUGAAAGGCCAUGCUUUGGGUGUGGUUGAUUUGAACUGGUAAAGAAGUACCGGCUAACUACGUGCCAGCAGCCGCGGUAAUACGUAGGGUACUAGCGUUGUCCGGAUUUAUUGGGCGUAAAGGGCUUGUAGGUGGUUUGUCGCGUCUGUCGUGAAAUCCUGUGGCUUAACCAUGGGCUUGCGGUGGGUACGGGCAGGCUUGAGUGCGGUAGGGGAGACUGGAAUUCCUGGUGUAGCGGUGGAAUGCGCAGAUAUCAGGAGGAACACCGGUGGCGAAGGCGGGUCUUUGGGCCGUUACUGACACUGAGGAGCGAAAGCGUGGGGAGCGAACAGG